RNAcentral lists this ribosomal RNA (494 nucleotides) under uncultured bacterium. RNAcentral's name for it is "partial 16S ribosomal RNA". It matches the Rfam family "Bacterial small subunit ribosomal RNA", at positions 28 to 507 of the family's 1533-position model. The record is from RNAcentral.
GACGAACGCUGGCGGCGUGCUUAACACAUGCAAGUCGAACGGAAAGGCCUGCUUUCCCUUGUGGAUUGCGGGUACUCGAGUGGCGAACGGGUGAGUAACACGUGAGUGAUCUGCCCCCAACUUGGGUAUAAGCCUGGGAAACUGGGUCUAAUUCCCGAUAGGACUGCAGGGUGGUGCCUGUGGUGGAAAACGAUUUUCUAGUGGUUGGGGAUGAGCUCGCGGCCUAUCAGCUUGUUGGUGGGGUAAUGGCCUACCAAGGCGGCGACGGGGAGCCGGCCUGAGAGGGUGGACGGCCACAUUGGGACUGAGAUACGGCCCAGACGCCUACGGGAGGCAGCAGUGGGGAAUAUUGCACACUGGGCGGAAGCCUGAUGCAGCGACGCCGCGUGGGGGAUGACGGCCUUCGGGUUGUAAACUCCUUUCGACCGCGAGGAAGCCACCUGGUUGGAAGGGUGGUGACGGUAGUGGUAGAAGAAGCACCGGCUAACUACGUG